GAUGAACGCUGGCGGCGUGCCUAACACAUGCAAGUCGAGCGAUUCUCUUCGGAGAAGAGCGGCGGACGGGUGAGUAACGCGUGGGUAACCUGCCCUGUACACACGGAUAACAUACCGAAAGGUAUGCUAAUACGAGAUAAUAUACUUUUAUCGCAUGGUAGAAGUAUCAAAGCUCCGGCGGUACAGGAUGGACCCGCGUCUGAUUAGCUAGUUGGUAAGGUAACGGCUUACCAAGGCGACGAUCAGUAGCCGACCUGAGAGGGUGAUCGGCCACAUUGGAACUGAGACACGGUCCAAACUCCUACGGGAGGCAGCAGUGGGGAAUAUUGCACAAUGGGCGAAAGCCUGAUGCAGCAACGCCGCGUGAGCGAUGAAGGCCUUCGGGUCGUAAAGCUCUGUCCUCAAGGAAGAUAAUGACGGUACUUGAGGAGGAAGCCCCGGCUAACUACGUGCCAGCAGCCGCGGUAAUACGUAGGGGGCUAGCGUUAUCCGGAAUUACUGGGCGUAAAGGGUGCGUAGGUGGUUUCUUAAGUCAGAGGUGAAAGGCUACGGCUCAACCGUAGUAAGCCUUUGAAACUGGGAAACUUGAGUGCAGGAGAGGAGAGUGGAAUUCCUAGUGUAGCGGUGAAAUGCGUAGAUAUUAGGAGGAACACCAGUUGCGAAGGCGGCUCUCUGGACUGUAACUGACACUGAGGCACGAAAGCGUGGGGAGCAAACAGGAUUAGAUACCCUGGUAGUCCACGCCGUAAACGAUGAGUACUAGCUGUCGGAGGUUACCCCCUUCGGUGGCGCAGCUAACGCAUUAAGUACUCCGCCUGGGAAGUACGCUCGCAAGAGUGA
Molecule: ribosomal RNA, 840 nt
Filed under: uncultured Bacillota bacterium
Lineage: Bacteria; Bacillati; Bacillota
Description: bacterial SSU rRNA
Rfam family: Bacterial small subunit ribosomal RNA
Source: RNAcentral